This 253-nucleotide non-coding RNA is filed under the name uncultured bacterium. Its description in RNAcentral is "partial 16S ribosomal RNA". It matches the Rfam family "Bacterial small subunit ribosomal RNA", at positions 524 to 776 of the family's 1533-position model. RNAcentral also lists the same sequence under 4 other names. The record is from RNAcentral.
UACGAAGGGGGCUAGCGUUGUUCGGAUUUACUGGGCGUAAAGCGCACGUAGGCGGACUUUUAAGUCAGGGGUGAAAUCCCGGGGCUCAACCCCGGAACUGCCUUUGAUACUGGAAGUCUUGAGUAUGGUAGAGGUGAGUGGAAUUCCGAGUGUAGAGGUGAAAUUCGUAGAUAUUCGGAGGAACACCAGUGGCGAAGGCGGCUCACUGGACCAUUACUGACGCUGAGGUGCGAAAGCGUGGGGAGCAAACAGG